RNAcentral lists this unclassified non-coding RNA (297 nucleotides) under uncultured fungus. Its description in RNAcentral is "partial contains small subunit ribosomal RNA, internal transcribed spacer 1, and 5.8S ribosomal RNA". The stretch from base 1 to 73 matches the Rfam family "Eukaryotic small subunit ribosomal RNA", at positions 1759 to 1831 of the family's 1831-position model. Lineage: Eukaryota; Fungi. The record is from RNAcentral.
GCAAACUUGGUCAUUUAGAGGAAGUAAAAGUCGUAACAAGGUUUCCGUAGGUGAACCUGCGGAAGGAUCAUUAAUAAAAUUGUUUUUGCUUGAAGGGCUGUAGCUGGCCAAUGUUUGGCAAGUGCACGCCUGGAUAAUCCACACAACUCACAAGUGCACAACUGUAGUGCUAAGCGCGCUACGUUUGUUUGUUCAAUAAAACGUGUUUGUUUGUAAAAAGACUUUUGGGGAUCAGACGAUGUCAUGACAACUUUCAGCAACGGAUCUCUUGGCUCUCGCAUCGAUGAAGAACGCAGC